RNAcentral lists this long non-coding RNA (206 nucleotides) under Setaria italica (foxtail millet). RNAcentral's name for it is "long non-coding RNA (SITA_LNC004948)". The record is from RNAcentral. Lineage: Eukaryota; Viridiplantae; Streptophyta; Magnoliopsida; Poales; Poaceae.
AAAUAUUCAUUUUCCUUUAAAAUUAGAGAUAGAUCCUAGUCGGUUAGGGAAUUGGUUGUAACAGGCUAUAAAUAGCCAUCUUUAGAGAUCUGUAUUCAACACAUCAAUCAAUAUAACAAUCUACUAUUUCCUCGUAUUUUACUUUCAAGUCGGCGACUUCGCCAAUACUUUUCUUCUUUCACGAGUUCGUAUGGGUUGGCAGGCUG